UACGUAGGGCGCAAGCGUUGUCCGGAAUUAUUGGGCGUAAAGAGCUCGUAGGCGGUUUGUCGCGUCUGUCGUGAAAGCCCGCGGCUUAACUGUGGGUCUGCGGUGGAUACGGGCAGACUAGAGGCAGGUAGGGGAGAAUGGAAUUCCCGGUGUAGCGGUGAAAUGCGCAGAUAUCGGGAGGAACACCGGUGGCGAAGGCGGUUCUCUGGGCCUGUACUGACGCUGAGGAGCGAAAGCGUGGGUAGCAAACAGG
This 253-nucleotide ribosomal RNA is filed under the name uncultured bacterium. RNAcentral describes it as "partial 16S ribosomal RNA". It matches the Rfam family "Bacterial small subunit ribosomal RNA", at positions 524 to 776 of the family's 1533-position model. The record is from RNAcentral.